Molecule: ribosomal RNA, 468 nt
Filed under: uncultured bacterium
Lineage: Bacteria
Description: partial 16S ribosomal RNA
Rfam family: Bacterial small subunit ribosomal RNA
Source: RNAcentral
GACGAACGCUGGCGGCGUGCUUAACACAUGCAAGUCGAACGGAAAGGCCCUGCUUUUGUGGGGUGCUCGAGUGGCGAACGGGUGAGUAACACGUGAGUAACCUGCCCUUGACUUUGGGAUAACUUCAGGAAACUGGGGCUAAUACCGGAUAGGAGCUCCUGCUGCAUGGUGGGGGUCGGAAAGUUUCGGCGGUUGGGGAUGGACUCGCGGCUUAUCAGCUUGUUGGUGGGGUAGUGGCUUACCAAGGCUUUGACGGGUAGCCUGCCUGAGAGGGUGACCGGCCACAUUGGGACUGAGAUACGGCCCAGACUCGUACGGGAGGCAACAGUGGGGAAUAUUGCACAAUGGGCGGAAGCCUGAGGCAGCAACGCCGCGUGCGGGAUGACGGCCUUCGGGUUGUAAACCGCUUUCGCCUGUGACGAAGCGUGAGUGACGGUAAUGGGUAAAGAAGCACCGGCUAACUACGUG